UACGUAGGGGGCAAGCGUUAUCCGGAUUCACUGGGUGUAAAGGGAGCGUAGACGGCGACGCAAGUCUGGAGUGAAAGCCCGGGGCCCAACCCCGGGACUGCUCUGGAAACUGCGGCGCUGGAGUACGGGAGGGGCAGGCGGAAUUCCUGGUGUAGCGGUGAAAUGCGUAGAUAUUAGGAGGAACACCAGUGGCGAAGGCGGCUUACUGGACUGUAACUGACGUUGAGGCUCGAAAGCGUGGGGAGCAAACAGG
Molecule: ribosomal RNA, 253 nt
Filed under: uncultured bacterium
Lineage: Bacteria
Description: partial 16S ribosomal RNA
Rfam family: Bacterial small subunit ribosomal RNA
Source: RNAcentral